Molecule: ribosomal RNA, 576 nt
Filed under: uncultured bacterium
Lineage: Bacteria
Description: partial 16S ribosomal RNA
Rfam family: Bacterial small subunit ribosomal RNA
Source: RNAcentral
UGGGGAAUUUUGGACAAUGGGCGAAAGCCUGAUCCAGCAAUGCCGCGUGUGUGAAGAAGGCCUUCGGGUUGUAAAGCACUUUUGUCCGGAAAGAAAUCCUUGGCUCUAAUACAGUCGGGGGAUGACGGUACCGGAAGAAUAAGCACCGGCUAACUACGUGCCAGCAGCCGCGGUAAUACGUAGGGUGCAAGCGUUAAUCGGAAUUACUGGGCGUAAAGCGUGCGCAGGCGGUUUGCUAAGACCGAUGUGAAAUCCCCGGGCUCAACCUGGGAACUGCAUUGGUGACUGGCAGGCUAGAGUAUGGCAGAGGGGGGUAGAAUUCCACGUNUAGCAGUGAAAUGCGUAGAGAUGUGGAGGAAUACCGAUGGCGAAGGCAGCCACCUGGGCCAAUACUGACGCUCAUGCACGAAAGCGUGGGGAGCAAACNGGAUUANUACCCUGGUAGUCCACGCCUAAACCGAUGUCACUCAGUUGUUGGGGAUUCAUUUCCUAGUAACGUAGCUAAUCGCGUGAAGUUGACCGCCUGGGGAGUACGGUCGGCAAGAUUAAACUCAAUGAAUUGACGGGUCAUAGCUG